CCUACGGGGGGCAGCAGUGAGGAAUAUUGGUCAAUGGGCGAGAGCCUGAACCAGCCAAGUCGCGUGAGGGAGGACGGCCCUACGGGUUGUAAACCUCUUUUGCCGGGGGACAAACGGCGGCACGCGUGCCGUCCUGAGGGUACCCGGAGAAAAAGCAUCGGCUAACUCCGUGCCAGCAGCCGCGGUAAUACGGAGGAUGCGAGCGUUAUCCGGAUUUAUUGGGUUUAAAGGGUGCGUAGGUUGUUUUAUAAGUUAGCGGUGAAAUACCGAUGCUCAACAUCGGGGCUGCCGCUGAUACUGUAGGACUAGAGAGCGGAUGCAGCAGGCGGAAUGUGUAGUGUAGCGGUGAAAUGCAUAGAUAUUACACAGAACACCGAUUGCGAAGGCAGCUUGCUAGGCCGGAUCUGACACUGAUGCACGAAAGCGUGGGGAUCGAACAGGAUUAGAUACCCGAGUAGUC
RNAcentral lists this ribosomal RNA (460 nucleotides) under uncultured bacterium. RNAcentral's name for it is "partial 16S ribosomal RNA". It matches the Rfam family "Bacterial small subunit ribosomal RNA", at positions 338 to 795 of the family's 1533-position model. The record is from RNAcentral.